AAACCGAAUCCCGACGCCUGAGAUGACAUACAUGCACAGAUGAAUUCUGGCGCCGCCGAUAUACCUGAUAUGACAUCGAAUACCAGUUCGCCAGUUUUCCCCAAUAAAACCUCAAGUAAAACAGAGCUGCCAUCAGAUUACCAGUUUCCCCUUCUUAAACAUCUAAUUACAAAAGCUAGGACACACCAUGGAUGUAGCUUAGUUUCAGGCAGAAGCAACCGAUCGCUGAGUUAAACCCGGCCCGAAGACAACCAUUAUGAAGGCGGCUAAAACCGGGC
Molecule: long non-coding RNA, 278 nt
Filed under: Linum usitatissimum (flax)
Lineage: Eukaryota; Viridiplantae; Streptophyta; Magnoliopsida; Malpighiales; Linaceae
Description: long non-coding RNA (LUSI_LNC000773)
Source: RNAcentral